AACACUGGGCCGCCUGCAGCAGAGCACGGGAAUUUAACGAUUCGGCCACGGGGCCAGCCCCCAACCAGCUAAUUUUUAUGGCCCUAUGAAUUCUGGUAUUAUCAGCUGGAAGUCUUGGUUGGGACAGGAUUUUCAAAGUAAAACCCACAACGUAUGAAUAUUGCCAUUAGAGAUGAAGUGGUACAUCUUAAUGUAGGCGUUUGUGUGUACAUAUGGAUACACAUAAAUUUACGUAAACACAUAUAUCUAGUCACUUACACAUAAAUAAAUACAUACAUUCACAUUUACACACAUACAUAUAGAGCAGAAUAUAGAGAAAGGUACUUAUACUUUGUCCAUUUUAUUUCACGACAAUCACUAAAAUUCUCAUUGUUAGUAACAUUGAAUUCUAACAAGCAUUUAUAAUAACCAUAUAUUAUAAUGUGUAGCCAUGAGAAAAAAAGUGAAGAUCUACAGAGUUUUAAAUAAGCAAUAUUAUGAACAACAUUCAUUUUGGCUAAACAUCAUAAUGCCCUCUUAGGAAUAUUACUGAAAAUUUUUAAAGCUCAUUUUCUCUUUAGCCAUCAUGAGUUUAGAGUGAAGUGGCAAUGUAGGGAGGAAAAAAAAAACCUACCAUAAAUGCAUUUGAAAGUUUUUUUAUGUGGAUCUACAUAGUGUUGCUAGGGAACAUGGAUUCUUAGCAUUUGAAAACCUAGAAAACCAAGCCUCUUACCUCUUUUGGCCAUGAUUUCUAUGUCAGGAAUCUGAUUUAAGAUAGUUUGGAAAUGAGUUAUCUUCAAAAUAUUUGGAUAUUUACGUUUUAUCAUCAACCUUCCUAAAGAAAUAAUUAUAUGUGUUCAUCUAAUGCUUCGAAAAAGGAGAAUAUACAAUCUAUUAUCUUUCAUUAUUGGGAUGCCAUAUAGCUAUGAAAUAUCAGAAUAGUGGUUAAGAGUAUUGUGAUGGUUAAUUUUAUGUGAUAACUUGACUGGGCCAUAGGUUGCCCAGAUAUUCGAUCAAACAUUACCCUGGGUGUUUGUGUGAGGAUGUUUUGGAUGAGAUUAACAUUUAUAUUGGUAGACUGAGUAAAGCAGGUUGCCUUCUGUAAUGUGGGUGUGCCUCAUCCAAACAACUGAAGGCCUGAAUAGAACAAAAAGGCUGACCCACCCUCUAGUAGGGAGAAUUCUUCCUGCCUAAAUGCCUUCAGACUGGGACAUCAGCUCUGUUCCUGCCUUCAGACUGGAACUGAAACAUCCAUUCUUCCUGGGUCUCGAGCCUGCCAGCCUUUGGACAGGAACUACAUCAUUGACUCUCCUAGUUCCCAGGCCUUCAGAUUUGGACUAGAACUAAGCCAUUCAUUCUCCUGGGUCUCAAGCUUGCCAACUCACCCUGCAGAUCUUGGGACUCAUUUGCCUCCAGAAUUGUGUGGGCCAAUUACUUACAAUAAAUUACUUUCUUUGUCUAUAUAUGUGCAUCAUAUUAGUUCUGUUUCUCUGGAGAACCCUGAGUAAUACAAGUAUAAACUCUGUAGUCAGAUUACCUAGGUUUGAAUCACAGCUCUGUCACUUAUUGCCUAUGUGACUCUCAGCAAGUUUCUUAAAAUCUCUGCUUCAGUUUCUUCAUCUUUAAAAAAGGAAAAAUAAUAGCACCUAUCUAACGGAGCUCUGUGAGAAUUAAAUGUUAUUACAUUUAAGACACUUAGAAGAAUGCCUGACCCAUAGUAAGUGUUCAAUAAACAUUAUCUACUAAUAGUGUUGUGAUUAUGGUGACGGCUGUCAUUUAUCUAUCAGAAAAUAUAUUUUCAGACAGCACGAUUACAAAUUCCAUCCUUUCUUGGCUCUUACUACUUCUUAAACAAACAUAAAUUACUCUUGCCAAUGUUAAGAGAUAAAUAGCCCAGUGAGGAAUUUACAAUACCCUGCUAAAUGGGCUUCCUAUAACAUUGCCAGGAACCCCAGAAAAUAGAAAAAAAAAUAUACAAAACCAGAAAGAAUCAACUGUAGACUAUGUGGGUAAGUAGAGGCAUCCAUGGAGUUAAAGAGAAAGGGUAACUCUGGAAUAAAUGGGGCCACUAGACAUAUCUCUUAAAUGUGUUCAUAUCAAAAAAAAGGGCAUACAUAUGAAGGUAUAAAGUAUGUAUAUUUUCCUAAGCUUCAUAAAAACUUCUGGGUAUGGAGAGAGAUUGAUGUCACAGUCAGACAUCAGAACAGAAGUAAACACCAGUGGAAUUUAGAACUGGAAGUAAAGAACAAUUCUGUAUGCAAAUUGAAACUGCCAGGGGGAACCUAGCCUCCCUGAAUGCUGGACAUUCAGCUUUUGGAGAAAGGUUUCCAGUAGAAGAUCACACUAUCACCACCACUGAAUGUUUCAUUCACUGAUAAAUCAAUUUUCACCAAUAUUUUGGAAAAAUAGACAUCAAUAAGGUAAGGGCUUCCACUUACAGACAAGAGACCAAAUCUGACCUCCUGCCUAAAAUAAGAAGAACAAGAAAAAAAGCAGAAUAUAUGAAAUGAUGGUUUGCAAGACACUGGACAUGAGGAGAUGAAGGACAGAAAUCUCUGAGAGAGCAAACAAACAAGGGUCUUUGAAUUCUAUUAAGUUCUAUGGAUUUCUAGACUCUACUACCAUAGUUUUUAAUGCGAGUUUGGUGAAGAAUCCAGCUCACUGUAACAUUUAUUUAAAUCUUUCUGGGCUGAGAAGAGAGCUAUGGCAAACUCAGAUUUCUAUUCUGAAUUGGAAUUUUCACUUCUCAGAGAGUACCUAAGUCUAGACUAAAUAAUUAACCAACUGAUGGUAUAAUGCACUAAUUGUGAAGAAAGAUUACGCCCUCUGCCACAAGUACAGCAUGCCACAAAUAAUUGUUUCUGGAGCCUGAGUGCCUGAGUGAAAAGACGUAUGGAAUAGAACAACUGACCCAAACCCAACUGAACCUAGUCUUGCCCAGUGGAGUCCAGCCAACUUGCAAACCUAUCAAACCAAGGAGAGCAAAUAAAAUUAUCAUAACUCAUGUCAGAGCAUCAUUUGGACACAGAGUCGACUUACAUAGGAGGUGGUAGUGGGCUCUCCCACUAGUGGGAAAAAGGAGGAACUACGGCAGAAAUAAAGAGAGAGGAGGAAUAGACCAUUAUGUUCAUGUGACAGUAAAGAAUCAGCAGAAGCAUCAAGAGGUUACAACCUUAAUGGAUACAUCCAGACCAAGGAGUUAGGUCUCCUCAGUGAUUUGGAGAAGUUCAAAAGAAAACUCUAACUUUGAUAAAGGGUGGAUUGGAUUAACGAAUGGAGACUUGCUGCAAAAUGGUCGAAAAGGACUUUGUCUAAAAUGGAAUGGACCUCUGGUCCACCUUGAGAGUCAGUGAAUCCAAGUUCACCUGGAGUCUAUACAUUUGGAUAGGCUGUAUUCUGAAGACUACAUGGUGUUAGCAUUGGAAAAUAACAAGAAAAUGAAGAACUAGAAUGUGGAAUAUUGUCACAUGGAAGUACCAUAAGAAGUACAACCAAAGACAAAAUUUAAAUGAAGGAAUUUCGUACAUGUGCAUUUCAAAUGCUCUCAACCACAAAACUGAAGAAAUGACAGACGAAUACAUGAAUUGUCAAACCACUUGCUGUACAAAAAUAAACUUAUGAACUCUAGUGUUUUGCUUAAUAGAAAAUCCUUUCUUUCUUGACUCAAUUAUGACCUCAGACACUCAUCAGAACUUAAUGCAUAUAAAAAAAACAAUUUCAUGCCAAACUUUGAGGCUGUGAAAAAAAAUUGCAUGAGUAGAAUGACAUUUAAAAUGCUUAUUUAAAUCCCAUAGCAUAAAAUUCAACCAUCUGUAAAUUUUAUAUGCUUUCCUCCUGAACUCUGGUGCACACUCAGGUGAGUACAGCUGUUAAGUAUAAACCAAUGGUGGUUCUAAAGGGGAAGUUGUAUAGUCUUUUUAAUUCUGAGUUCACUUUGUCUGGGGAUGUUCAGAUAGUACAUUCAUUUGAGGGAUUGUGGAAAGGGUAAGAUAUGAAAAACUUAAAGUAUUUUGUUAGGAGAUUCUGCUGAGAAGAUGAAUCCUGAUUGUUGCUUUAUACUUGAAAGUACAUCUAUCAGUAACAGGGCCUCUCAGAAGGAAGUCAUCUGAGAGUUGAGAUCACAGUGAAUAAUCUUAGAAGUACUCUAUAUGAAAGUAAAUUGCAGGGUCCAAGUAAUGUGCUACUCUCCCACUAUGACCCUGCCAUAAAUAAAACUGCUUUAACAGUCAAUUGCACAAGGAUGCCUUGUAAAUAGAAGAUAUUCACAAAUUAUUCUUGAUGACAGUCCCAUCUCCACUCAUUCCAGCAAAUUAAAAUGAAGUUGCAAAGGCUUUAAAGAAAUCACACAGCUAGAUAAUUGCAGAGUUUGUUCAGGAAACACACUCCUGAAUAUCACUCCAGCUCUGGGUUGGAUGAUUAAAUUAUGGACAUGUUGAUUGUUUUGAUGAAAGAAGCUUACAUGUUCAUUUAAUCUAAGAAAUCCUUCACUUCACAUAUAACACCCACACAGAUAUCUUUUUUUAAGUUUUAAGUUAGCUAAGUGUUGAAUGGUUAAAGCCCUUGGUCAUUGUUCUUUAGGGUAUCAUUCU
Long non-coding RNA from Equus caballus (horse), 4568 nucleotides. RefSeq lists it as uncharacterized. Lineage: Eukaryota; Metazoa; Chordata; Mammalia; Perissodactyla; Equidae. The record is from RefSeq and is a predicted model, not a curated record.